This 253-nucleotide ribosomal RNA is filed under the name uncultured bacterium. Its description in RNAcentral is "partial 16S ribosomal RNA". It matches the Rfam family "Bacterial small subunit ribosomal RNA", at positions 524 to 776 of the family's 1533-position model. The record is from RNAcentral.
UACGAAGGGUGCAAGCGUUACUCGGAAUUACUGGGCGUAAAGCGUGCGUAGGCGGUUCGUUAUGUCUGAUGUGAAAGCCCUGGGCUCAACCUGGGAAUGGCAUUGGAAACUGGCGACCUAGAGUGCGGUAGAGGGUAGUGGAAUUCCCGGUGUAGCAGUGAAAUGCGUAGAGAUCGGGAGGAACAUCCGUGGCGAAGGCGACUACCUGGACCAGCACUGACACUGAGGCACGAAAGCGUGGGGAGCAAACAGG